RNAcentral lists this ribosomal RNA (521 nucleotides) under uncultured bacterium. RNAcentral's name for it is "bacterial SSU rRNA". It matches the Rfam family "Bacterial small subunit ribosomal RNA", at positions 988 to 1509 of the family's 1533-position model. The record is from RNAcentral.
CCAGAGAACUUAGCAGAGAUGCUUUGGUGCCUUCGGGAACUCUGAGACAGGUGCUGCAUGGCUGUCGCCAGCUCGUGUUGUGAAAUGUUGGGUUAAGUCCCGCAACGAGCGCAACCCUUAUCCUUUGUUGCCAGCGGCUCGGCCGGGAACUCAAAGGAGACUGCCGGUGAUAAACCGGAGGAAGGUGGGGAUGACGUCAAGUCAUCAUGGCCCUUACGGCCAGGGCUACACACGUGCUACAAUGGCGCAUACAAAGAGAAGCGACCUCGCGAGAGCAAGCGGACCUCACAAAGUGCGUCGUAGUCCGGAUUGGAGUCUGCAACUCGACUCCAUGAAGUCGGAAUCGCUAGUAAUCGUAGAUCAGAAUGCUACGGUGAAUACGUUCCCGGGCCUUGUACACACCGCCCGUCACACCAUGGGAGUGGGUUGCAAAAGAAGUAGGUAGCUUAACCUUCGGGAGGGCGCUUACCACUUUGUGAUUCAUGACUGGGGUGAAGUCGUAACAAGGUAAGCGUAGCGAG